RNAcentral lists this ribosomal RNA (253 nucleotides) under uncultured bacterium. RNAcentral describes it as "partial 16S ribosomal RNA". It matches the Rfam family "Bacterial small subunit ribosomal RNA", at positions 524 to 776 of the family's 1533-position model. The record is from RNAcentral.
GACGAACCGUGCGAACGUUGUUCGGAAUCACUGGGCUUAAAGGGCGCGUAGGCGGCUCACCAAGUCGGGGGUGAAAUACUUCAGCUUAACUGGAGAAGUGCCUUCGAUACUGGUGGGCUUGAGGGAGGUAGGGGUCUGUGGAACUUCUGGUGGAGCGGUGAAAUGCGUAGAGAUCGGGAGGAACACCAGUGGCGAAGGCGGUCUCCUGGAGCUAACUUGACGCUGAGAGACGAAAGCUAGGGGAGCGAAUGGG